This 95-nucleotide small nuclear RNA is filed under the name Procavia capensis (Cape rock hyrax). The record is from RNAcentral. Lineage: Eukaryota; Metazoa; Chordata; Mammalia; Hyracoidea; Procaviidae.
GUGCUUGCUUAGGCAGCACAUGUACUAACACUGAAAUAAUACAGGGAAGAUUAGCAUGGGAUGAUACACAAAUUUGUGAAAUAUUCCAUAUUUUU